GCGGGUUUGGUGCAAUGGUAAGCAUUUCAGUCUCCAAAACUGAAGAUGAAAGUUCGAGUCUUUCAGCCCGUG
RNAcentral lists this transfer RNA (72 nucleotides) under Arachidicoccus ginsenosidimutans. Its description in RNAcentral is "Arachidicoccus sp. BS20 tRNA". It matches the Rfam family "tRNA". Rfam says of the family: Transfer RNA (tRNA) molecules are approximately 80 nucleotides in length. Their secondary structure includes four short double-helical elements and three loops (D, anti-codon, and T loops). The record is from Rfam by way of RNAcentral. Lineage: Bacteria; Pseudomonadati; Bacteroidota; Chitinophagia; Chitinophagales; Chitinophagaceae.